This 1883-nucleotide long non-coding RNA is filed under the name Ooceraea biroi (clonal raider ant). RNAcentral describes it as "uncharacterized LOC113561652". Lineage: Eukaryota; Metazoa; Arthropoda; Insecta; Hymenoptera; Formicidae. The record is from RNAcentral.
UAUACAUAUAUAUAUACAUAUACAUAUAUAUUUUUUAUAUAAUUAAAAAUAUUUUUGUAUACUUUAUGCUGCGGUCUCCCCUUUAGAACAUUAGACCAACACGGCGUAGACGAUACUGCUUCUUGCGGCGCUUAGUCGCUAACGCGCACUUGUUUGGAGGAAACGGCACAAUCCGGUCUCGCAGGUAAUCGUACGUGUUCAUUUCUGUUACAAUCUUAUUUCCUCCUUGGGAGAUUAAUUGUAAGACUAGACCAUACCACCUGUUUUUGGCCAGUGUAGGCAGGUUUUAGCUUGCCAGGCGGUGCCACUAAAUUCGAAGAGGAAAGAUAUAUAAUCGUACGGUGUGCAUGAAGAAAAUUUUAGAAAUAUCUAGUAUCUACGUAAUCGUCGUGACCAAGUGAUUACCAAAAAUAUUUAAAUUUAUUGCAGGUAAUAUUUAUCUCUAAACAUGCCAAAAAUAAAAAUGAAGACUAAACGACAUUUCAAUCGAAAGAUAGCUGACAAUGUAGAAGCUUCGAUGGCUUUAAUUGAGUUACAAAGCCAAAUUAACUCACUUGAAUCGACCGAAAGUACUUGUUCAAGCAACAAAGGGAUGAAUAUCAGUGAAGACAUAAAUAAUGUGAAUAUUGAUACACGGCAUGGCUUUCAGUCAACCAAUGUAUCAUUAAAUAAAGAGGUUUGCGAAAAUGUCGCUGAAUUAAAUUUGCAUGUCAACAAUAUGGAGGAGAGUUUUCCAAAUGAUACAUCUCUUUUAAAUAAUUCUAUAAUAUCUUCAAAUAGCAUUGAUAGUGAUAGGACAUAAUAAAUAGUAAUAAUGAUUUAUCCACUUAUGCCAAAAAUGAAAAUAAAGAUACAUCAUUGCGAAAAAAAUUAGCAUCAUGGGCCAUUGAGGAAAAUAUUACUCAAAAUAGUUUUAAAAAACUUUUAGAAAUUCUUCGGAAUGAAAAUGAUUUGACCCCAUUUCAUAACUUACCUAAAGAUCCGAGGACAAUGUUAUUAACUCCAAGCAAUCUUACUUCUAUAAAAAUGAAUACAGGUUCUUUUCAUUACUUUGGGAUUGCACAGUCAAUUAAUAUAUUAAUUAAUCAGUGUGGUGUAUCCCUUCUUAAUUGUACAUCUUUUGAAUUAGCCGUAAAUAUAGAUGGUUUGCCGAUUAGUAAAAGCAGUUCAAAUUGUUUAUGGCCAAUAUUAGUUCAAAUAAAGUCUAUUGAAGUUUUGAAAAAAUAUGUUUUAAUGGUAGCCCUGUAUCAUGGUAAUGGUAAACCGGAAAACCCAAAUGAAUAUUUAAAAGAAUUUGUAAAUGAAGCAUUUACUUGACUACGAAUGGAAUUUUUAUAAACAAUCAAAAAUAUGAUUUAAAAAUAAAAGUUAUAAUAUGUGAUACGCCUGCUAAAUCUUAUAUUUUGAAUGUAAAAAGCCAUACGGGUUAUUAUAGCUGCACUAAAUGCAAAGUGGAAGGUUGUUUGAUAAAUAAAAUUUUGUGCUUUUCACACACAAACGCUAUGAAAAGAACAGAUGUUGAAUUUAGACAACAACAUGAUGAAGAUUAUCACAAAGGGAUGACUAUUUUGACGAAUUUGCCUCAUUUUGAUAUGAUUAAAGAUGUUAUACUAGAUUACAUGCAUCUUAUUUGUUUAGGGGUAAUGAAAAGAUUGAUUACACAUAAAAAAUAUGGUUGGGUAUAUGGUAAACAACCAUAUAAACUUUCAUAUAGACAAGUAGAAUCGAUUUCAAAUAAAAUUAAAAACUUAAAUAAAUAUAUUCCUGUUGAAUUUCCACGUAAAGGUAGAUCGCUUGAAGAAUGUCCUCGUUUUAAAGCAACGGAAUUUAAACUCAUACUAUUAUAUACAGGACCUGUAAUUUUCAAACAAAUUCUUGCAAAA